UUGAACAGAAUUGGUGCGUGAUUUCGAUCGUAGCGAAGGCAGCUGCUACUACUGUGCACUGAGAAAUUGUUUUGUAAUAAAACACAACUAAAUCGUUGGUUGUCGAGACAAAGUUGGUUGCUGCUGUGUUCAUUUGCAACUCAUUGUGAACUGUUUGUGUACGUUUGGAGCCGAUUUUUCUAUCCAACGCUAUCAAAACUUUGGACAGAAUCGGUGCGUGAUUCGUCAUUGAGUGUACCUAACCUACACCAACAGAAAUAAUCUGGCUGGAGUUGUGUAAGAAAGUUAUUCGAACGCAUCAAAGUGAACUGUUUGUGUGCGCUAAGAGCCGAUUUUUCAAUUCAACGCUAUCAA
Molecule: long non-coding RNA, 354 nt
Organism: Sitodiplosis mosellana (orange wheat blossom midge)
Lineage: Eukaryota; Metazoa; Arthropoda; Insecta; Diptera; Cecidomyiidae
Exons: 3
Source: RefSeq, a predicted model, not a curated record